RNAcentral lists this ribosomal RNA (400 nucleotides) under uncultured bacterium. RNAcentral describes it as "bacterial SSU rRNA". It matches the Rfam family "Bacterial small subunit ribosomal RNA", at positions 356 to 773 of the family's 1533-position model. The record is from RNAcentral.
GGGGAAUAUUGCACAAUGGGGGAAACCCUGAUGCAGCAACGCCGCGUGAGUGAUGAUGGUCUUCGGAUUGUAAAGCUCUGUCUUUAGGGACGAUAAUGACGGUACCUAAGGAGGAAGCCACGGCUAACUACGUGCCAGCAGCCGCGGUAAUACGUAGGUGGCAAGCGUUGUCCGGAUUUACUGGGCGUAAAGGGAGCGUAGGUGGAUAUUUAAGUGGGAUGUGAAAUACCCGGGCUUAACCUGGGUGCUGCAUUCCAAACUGGUUAUCUAGAGUGCAGGAGAGGAAAGGAGAAUUCCUAGUGUAGCGGUGAAAUGCGUAGAGAUUAGGAAGAAUACCAGUGGCGAAGGCGCCUUUCUGGACUGUAACUGACACUGAGGCUCGAAAGCGUGGGGAGCAAAC